CCCUUAGAUGUUCUGGGCCGCACGCGUGCUACACUGAGUGGAUCAGCGGGUCAGGUUGCGCGAAAGUGUUUCCUAAUCUUGAAAUCCGCUCGUGAUGGGGAUUGACGGUUGCAAUUUUCCGUCGUGAACGAGGAAUACCUUGUAAGCGCGGGUCAUCAUCCCGCGCUGAAUACGUCCCUGCCCUUUGUACACACCGCCCGUCGCUCCUACCGAUUGAGUGGUCCGGUGAGGCUUUGGGAUCUGAGCGGAAAGAGCGUUUCGCUGUUUCUGCUCGGAAAACUCAGUCGAACCUUAUCAUUUAGAGGAAGGAGAAGUCGUAACA
Molecule: ribosomal RNA, 322 nt
Filed under: uncultured eukaryote
Lineage: Eukaryota
Description: partial 18S ribosomal RNA
Rfam family: Eukaryotic small subunit ribosomal RNA
Source: RNAcentral